Armillaria mellea is the source of this 80-nucleotide non-coding RNA. The record is from the annotation of a GenBank genome assembly. NCBI's taxonomy places the organism in Eukaryota, Fungi, Basidiomycota, Agaricomycetes, Agaricales, Physalacriaceae.
UCGGAUAUGGUGUAACGGCUAACAUUGCCGCCUCUCAUGUUGGUGCGCGGCAGCUCGGGGUUCGAUUCCCCGUAUCCGAA